Molecule: long non-coding RNA, 3298 nt
Organism: Puntigrus tetrazona (Sumatra barb)
Lineage: Eukaryota; Metazoa; Chordata; Actinopteri; Cypriniformes; Cyprinidae
Exons: 8
Source: RefSeq, a predicted model, not a curated record
ACCCGUUCCUCGAAGAAAUGGUGUCUCUCUGGUAAAUAAUGCUGAACUGAAAUAGUCGUCACAGUUUUAUUGCACCGAAAUGUGCAACAGAAUGCCACGAAAGUAACAUCUCCAAGCAUUUCUGGGCAGUGGAGUGUUAAACGGCCCCGGCAAGAGUGGCUCCCCCCACACGCGCUCGCUGCCAGCCAAACCAAAUUCUACUUUAACUCCAGGAAAGAUGAAAUGCUGCCUCUCAUGAGGGUUGCUGUCUAUCCGGCAUCUCCCCGACAUUUAUGGAAGAAGAACUCGCCGUUGCGCGGCUUCCGCACGACUGACAAGCUCUGAAAAACGCAACGGUUGACGAAACAUACUUAAGAAGCUGUCCCCAAGCUACACAUUCCUCCCCAGAUGCCGUAAAAAAAAACAAAAAAAAACGAGUGAUGCAAAGUGGAGCCUGUCAAGCCAAUGAGGACGGAAGAUGAAGACAGGGCCGCCGAAAUAAGGAUAUCAGGGGUCCGUCUGGAGGAACUGUUGGAUUAGACAGCAUUCUGCUGGGUUAAAGAGGAGGUCUGAGCGGAGAGCAGCUUCCUGCUGUGGUGAAGUCCCCUUACCUCCAGGGCAUCACCACUCAAGAGAGAAAUACAAUUCAGAACACUGCAUUGACGUAUUAUUGCACCAUUGCUGCCAUUGGUUCUCGGGUAUGCUGUGACGAUCUUCAUUUCUGAUGCACGACGGCCGACUGACAACCUCCGCAGCUGAUGCCACAACCGCUUCGAAAAGAAUCGUGUUUAGAAAAGGAAACACUUCUGGCGGCGAGAAUUUCCUGAAAGCCAAUCGAGAGGACGCCGGCCCAGAAUGCACCACAGGAAGUGUCUGCGAGACUCCAGAAGCAGAGGUCAAGGCCAGGGGUCAACGGGUGGCACGGCAGAGAUUUACGCCGAGAGCAAACCCAGCCCGUUCCCAGCCUUCAUCCAUUUCCCGGGGAAAUUAGCCAUAAAGUCGCCGUUUUCAUCUUUCAAGGUUUUGUCAUAAACCGUCAUCUUUCCCCGUCUUUGAUACGAACAUGAAAAAAAAAAAAAACGGCACUAAAACAUUAGAAAAGCACAACAAUAGCCUACAACGGAUCCUACCGUAUUCUUUUCAUCUCGAGUUAACCUCUCGUUUUACCGUCCCGCCGUUUCCGACACGGACCACCCUAUUGUUUAAAGACGCCUGUGUGGGGGGGAAAAAAAACAAAAAAGUUUCACAUUUUCUGAAAUGUGCGGGGCUGCUCUCUGAGGUCCAUUUCAUUUUAACCAAAUGGGGGGGGAAGCUUGUCUUUACCGCGGUGAGCAGAUGGAACUAUAAAUCAAGGCAGCCGUUGCCGCCCUGUAGAGGGCCGACCACAGCUGCCACUCUCUGCGUUUCCCUGAAAAUCUUUUCAGGUCCAUCGUCGAGCAAUCUGGGCUUCUUUUUUUAUAUAUAUACGCCACACCUCCCCUCUCCGUACAGUCGUAUCCAUCAAAACGACGGUCGCCCAUCAACCUACUGCCACGAUCGAUUGGCACACUUAUAUUCGCGCAUAGCCAAUGCCCCGCUCUGGAGGUAAACCCCACGACAGGCCCCUCAUUUUGGCUCUUUAGCCCCCAGCAACCACUGCGACUCUGGCAGCAGCAGGCCAGGCCUCCUCCAUUAAACUUGCAUUAUGAUGGAUAUCAAGGCAUCCGGGCCCUGAGUGUUUUAAACGAGAGGUGACAAGAAACGCAACACGGGCUAUUGUUUCUCGCCCCGUCCUUAACAGCCUCCCGCUCCCCCACCCGAGAACGUCCUUCGGUGAUUUUAACAUAUUGGCUGUUUUGUUAAGUAAAUAGACUCGAUGAUCUGCGCGUAACCUACUGUAGAAGAAAGGGUCUGCGGUGGCCGCGGUGCUGCUCGCGGCCAGAUGGUGGCGCUCUAAUGCCACAGAUAUCAUUGAGAGGAGAGAUCCGGACAAAGACUGCGAAGAGCAGAAACGCUCAAAUGGAGAAAGUACAAUCAGUUCUUCACAUAAAUGCAUAGUUUUUACAGUAUCAGCAAUCAUUUCCCUCAAACGCGUAUCUGCGGCGUGACAGCAGUUUAACUCAAAGUAAACACUCUCAAAUUAGGUCCUUUUAGAGCCCGGUGUUACUCUGAGGUUAAUCGCUGAUAGCACAUUAUCUGGUUAAGAGAAAUCUAAUCACAGGACUUGUUUUAAUUAGGUUUAUUACUCAAGACGGGAGCCGAUCUGUGCCGUUUAUUUUUGAUUUGCAUGUCAUUUUUUGGAGGCCUUUUCAUUUCUUCGCUGUAUUUCAGCUGCGAGAUGUUAUGCAUUAUUUUAUUUGAUCGUAUAAACAUCGAGAGAUUUGCUAUUUGUCAACAGCCCGUCAUUAUCAUGAUAAGUCAAUCAGUCAUUCAGUAAAUUCAUAUUUAAUGCUCGCAGGCAGUCUUCGACAUUCAAUCAGUUCACAGUUUAAUGCCUCGGAUGAUUUGGAGUUUCAAAAGAAAAUGUAUUUUUUAAAGAGCAACAAACACGCAUCGCAAAAAGCCUCGCAUAAUCAAAUUACCUCUCGCAAUAUUUCAGGAGUUCAAGACUUGAUGUGCAAUUAAAAUAUCAGCAGUCAAAUGGCACAGGGAAAGAAAAUUAAUAUUAGCUAUAUUGUCAGACUCUUCUGAAAUCAUGUUUUCCUUCCAGAGCUGGGAAAAGCUCAGGAUGAUGGAACAUGAUUUGUUCAUGAGAUGGGACACCGCUGGUCAUUCAUUAUCCAAAGAGAGAAAGAAAAAAGGGAAAGAAAUGAAAGUGAAAAUGACAAAGAAAGACAGAGCUGGAUGUCAUCUUGGUUACGCGUUUCAAAGGAUGUUAGAUUCAGCCAUUUAAAAGAAGCGCACAUGCUUAAAAUGUAAAUUCUUUCUAUUUAACAUAGUCUUCUAAUAGAAGCUUGUGUUAAAUUGUGCUGUGGUUAAAAAAAAAACUCUGUUGUGAAGUGAUUCUGUGAACUUAUAUAUAAAUCCAUCACUAGAGAUGGAGUAGUCAAACAUUGCUGCUCUACAGUUCUCGUUCUCUUUAAAGAAGUUUGAUGUCCUUCACACUUCGUGAUUGCCGCUGGAACUAGAUGAAUUUUUUAAAACGCCGCAUAUUCAGAGUUUUCUUUUGCCAUUUUGAAAUUGUGUAAUUAUUGAUCAGCGCUAAAACAUUCGAUUUAUAAAAAAGCAUUACCAAACCUGACCGGUUAAAACGUUACAUUACGGUUUAUAUUGGCAGCGAAAUGUAACUAAGAACUGUAAAUAAAAGCUAAAAUGUAAAAAGUCAAAUAACAAUAAGAAA